UAUUUAUUUUGUUUAGUAUUUAA
This 23-nucleotide small nuclear RNA is filed under the name Arabidopsis thaliana (thale cress). Its description in RNAcentral is "snRNA_04729". The record is from RNAcentral. Lineage: Eukaryota; Viridiplantae; Streptophyta; Magnoliopsida; Brassicales; Brassicaceae.